CCAAUAGCGUAUAUUAAAGUUGUUGCAGUUAAAAAGCUCGUAGUUGAAUUUCGGAAUCAAUAUGUUGGUCGUGCCUUGGUACGUACUGGCAUUAUUGGUUUCUACCUUCUGAAGAACCUCGAUGUCAUUAAUUUGGUGUCUUGGGGAAUCAGGACUGUUACUUUGAAAAAAUUAGAGUGUUUAAAGCAAGCUCACGCUUGAAUACAUUAGCAUGGAAUAAUGAAAUAGGACGUUUGAUUCUAUUUUGUUGGUUUCUAGGAUCGACGUAAUGAUUAAUCGGGAUAGUUGGGUGCAUUAGUAUUCAAUUGUCAGAGGUGAAAUUCUUGGAUUUAUUGAAGACUAACUACUGCGAAAGCAUUUGCCAAGGAUGUUUUCAUUAAUCAAGAACGAAAGUUAGGGGAUCGAAGACGAUCAGAUACCGUCGUAGUCUUAACCAUAAGCUAUGCCGACUAGGGAUCGGAUGAUGUUAAUUUUUUAAUGACUCAUUCGGCGCCUUAC
RNAcentral lists this ribosomal RNA (498 nucleotides) under uncultured Glomeromycotina. RNAcentral describes it as "partial small subunit ribosomal RNA". It matches the Rfam family "Eukaryotic small subunit ribosomal RNA", at positions 591 to 1091 of the family's 1831-position model. The record is from RNAcentral. Lineage: Eukaryota; Fungi; Glomeromycota.